Molecule: ribosomal RNA, 133 nt
Organism: Lachnospiraceae bacterium
Lineage: Bacteria; Bacillati; Bacillota; Clostridia; Lachnospirales; Lachnospiraceae
Source: Rfam
UCCGGUGGCGAUGCGCUUAGGGGAGACACCCGUGGAACUUUGGUUCCGUCACAUCCCGAACACGACGGUUAAGACUUAAGCGGCCGAUGGUACUAUAUUGGAGACGAUAUGGGAGAGCAGGUGGCUGCCGGAU